AUUGAACGCUGGCGGCAUGCCUUACACAUGCAAGUCGAACGGCAGCGGACCUUCGGGUGCCGGCGAGUGGCGAACGGGUGAGUAAUGCAUCGGAACGUGCCAUUGAGUGGGGGAUAACGUAGCGAAAGUUGCGCUAAUACCGCAUAUUCUGUGAGCAGGAAAGCAGGGGACCGCAAGGCCUUGCGCUCUUUGAGCGGCCGAUGUCAGAUUAGCUAGUUGGUGAGGUAACGGCUUACCAAGGCGACGAUCUGUAGCGGGUCUGAGAGGAUGAUCCGCCACACUGGAACUGAGACACGGUUCAGACUCCUACGGGAGGCAGCAGUGGGGAAUUUUGGACAAUGGGGGCAACCCUGAUCCAGCCAUGCCGCGUGAGUGAAGAAGG
RNAcentral lists this ribosomal RNA (382 nucleotides) under uncultured bacterium. RNAcentral describes it as "bacterial SSU rRNA". It matches the Rfam family "Bacterial small subunit ribosomal RNA", at positions 30 to 414 of the family's 1533-position model. The record is from RNAcentral.